Long non-coding RNA from Portunus trituberculatus (swimming crab), 1080 nucleotides. RefSeq lists it as uncharacterized. Lineage: Eukaryota; Metazoa; Arthropoda; Malacostraca; Decapoda; Portunidae. The record is from RefSeq and is a predicted model, not a curated record. The transcript has 3 exons.
AGAAACAUAGAAGGAAAAUAAGAAGAGGCAAAGAAGUAAACAAGGAAUGAAGGAACGGGGGGAAAAGAGAGAAAGAAGAGGAGAGAGUGAAGCUGUACACGAACCUCCAAGCAGGGAUUCGAAACAGUGAUAUGAAGCAAUGUGACUUCUGUACCUACUACUACCAACCCUCUGCCACUCAACCUCCGUGCGUGUUUCGAGAGGUGUGUGUGCAGGAUGACGGCAAACACGUGGAUACCUGGGGAGGGACCAAAUUACAGCCUGUGGCCAAUGACAGGCCAAGGCAGCAGCACGUGACCUGUGGAAAGGCGGGAACCGUCUUGAGGGAGGAGGUGAGGAGCUCAGUUUGAGAGUGGCUUUCACAGUGAGCGUUUGUUGUAAGUGUUAAUACUGUUACUGUGAUUAUUGUACUGCGAGAUUGAUGGACACAGUUUGUGUGUGUACGGCUCCACGCAAUCUGUAGUGUCUGGAGUGUGACAGGCCUGGAAUAUCUGGAAGGUUGGCUCGUGUCGGCUACUAUGAUGUCCGUAGUGAUUGUGGUGUGCACAUACUGGCGCGCACACACAGAGACACUGUCUGGCUGUAACGUCUUCUAAUAGUUGAUUUGAGCAUUUAUUCUUCGUUAUUUGGAUUAUUUGGCCAAGUAUUGAUACGUGAAGGGUCGUGUACUGUGUCAACAGAGCGGUGGUGGGCUGAGGUGCCAGCAGGUCGCCCAUAUUUGUCAUUAUCUCCUUAAUUUGUCAGUCAUUGCAAGCCAGACAUGCCACAAUAUGGAGCUGCAAGUGUAGCCUUUCAUAUUUGCCAGUGAGAUAUACCAGACAUUGCAUGGUUUUGUUGUGGUAAAGUUUUAAAAAGUUGAAAUGGCUGCCGCCUCUUCGGGUCCUCGUCCCUGCCGCCGCCGCCGCCGCUAAGCCCCGCCCCCCGCCAAGAUGGCCGCCGCCUCCAGGUUCCAGUACUAUUUCUAUUAUUGUUUCUUUGCCUUAUUUCGCUCUACAAGUGAAUUGUGAUGGUUUGUAAGGAUAUUUAGUUACUUGUGAAGUGUUUGUGUUGCUUCUGUCAAGUGAGACAAGUUGAAUUAGC